Zalophus californianus (California sea lion) is the source of this 1397-nucleotide long non-coding RNA. RefSeq lists it as uncharacterized. The transcript has 3 exons. Lineage: Eukaryota; Metazoa; Chordata; Mammalia; Carnivora; Otariidae. The record is from RefSeq and is a predicted model, not a curated record.
CUGAGGAAAACCGGAGGGGAUUACAACGGGGACGGGGAAUGGAGGGGUCAGGAGGCGGGGCCGAGGGGAAGGGAGGAGGGGUCCUGGGAAAAUCUGCCGCGUUUCACAGGCCUAGAUGAAACACCUCCUCAAAUGGGUGUUUUCCAAGUGGCUUCCCGCUCACUCUGGUUCCCAGCCCUUUUCAUUCAUUCAGACGUUCAUUGGACACCUCCCUUAUGCAAAUGUCUGCGUUAGAUGCUGGAGCUACAGAGAUGCCUGGAGUUCGGCAAGUGACAAACCUAGAACUGUCUUCGCUCUCUUCGACCCCCCCCCCAUGCUUGCGCACAGACAGACAAGAUGACAACGUGGGCUGUGACCCUUCAGAGCUCUGUAAAUGUAAAACUUUCGCAGUUGAGCUCUGAGGACUUAGCUUUCUUCUCCUUGGGUGUGAAAUGAGGUCAGGCCAAGGCCUCUGGCAAAGACACCCCUAAUGUCCACCUCGUAUAUGCAUGCCAGAGCGCCGCGUAGUUUUCUCCAGAGGUGAAAACUGCGUUGGAAUUGAGGCCCCACUCGCACUCAAACCAGAGAUGCCCCCGGGGCAGAGAGCGGCCUGCUGUGUGAGCCUCCUUAGCACCUCAUCGCCGUCCCCAGCCGUGUGUGAACCCAGGUGGACUGGGGACAGACACUGCUCGGGUCCUUCCGUGGGCCUGGCAUAGUCGAGGACGCUGGUCGCUGCCCGGAACGCACUUCAGGCAACUUAAGCCUGGAAACGCCGGAGCAAACUUAGUCCGUCUGGGCAUUUAAUAGAAAGGAGAAGGGCUCGAAUCCUGACCCCUCCUUCCUACCUGCCACAUCCCUUUCUCCACCUCGCCACCCCCGCCAGGCUUGCCCUUUCAAUUCCUAGAGUUUCCCAGAUCGAGCUCUGCCUCCUGUAGGGAGCCCCAAAACCCGGAGAACUGGAAUUCGCUGCCGGAGACCUGCUGAAGGCGCUGCAGGAUUGGCGCGGCACUCGCGAGCGGCACUGCGCAUGUGCCCAAUGCGGGCAGCCCAGUCUCACGCUACACCUCCUUCCCACCGCCUUCCACUACUCAGCUCAGACACAACACGGGCCGUGGGAAAUUUCCUAAACCUCGCGAGAACGCGCCCACUGUUGCCUAUGCCUUCGCCCCCAAAUCUCGCGGAGCCCAGGCGGGACAGGCCCAAAGCUUUACAUAACUUGCUAACAUGCGCAGCAGUUCAGGAAAGUGAAGUAAGAAAAAGAACGGGCCGUUUACUCUAGUGAUGGGAAACGUGAAUGGAAUCAAAUGCACAUUUGGAUAUAAACAAGAGAAAGCCACUUUUACAAAAAAAUGACAAAAAUGACAACACUAUACAGAAAAAAAGACAAUACCACAUGAAUCAUAAAAUACCAGUUAUUU